AACUCAUUUAAGGCAGGGGGAUGUGUAUUAAUAACGAAGAUAAUCAAACAGCCCAGGCUGCGAUAGUCCCUGACCUGCCCCCAGGCGGGCCUUAAUGACUGUUUGUGAAGUGUGCCAGAGCCUCAGAUGAAAGGCACCCAGCUCUGGAGGCCAGAAGUCCAAAGCCAAGGUGUGUGUAUGGCAAUGCUCCCUGUGAAGGCUUUGCAGAAACUGAGGCUCCGAAGGGUUGAAUCAUUUGUCACGGCAAGUAAAAGACAGAUCCAAAUUUGAUCCUUCUUCUGCCUGUCUCCUGAGCUAACAGGCUCUGUCCAGGUAACUGACACCCUCUGCCUGGCUGGAGGAAGACAGGAGUUAAACGCAUAAUUAUGCAUUGCAUGAACUAAUUGUGAUUUUAGUACAGCUGCUGCGGACAAGUGUAGGAGCUUAUGGAUAAUUCAUUGAGGAAUUGAUUCAAAGAUUUAGCAUCACUUUGCAGAUCUCUUUAUCUUUUUGACCAAUGAAGAGAGGGGCAAUCCUAUCUCAACAAUAGGAUAUCAAUGUCCAUUGCCAUUUCAACAGAAGCCCAAAUGAAUGAAGGGAAAACCAUCACCAACAGCAUAUGUUUAUCCUCAUUGUUUCAUAGCUCACCAGUCACGGCAUUCUAUUUUUUAAAUAGACUUUCUGAAAAACAACAAUAUCCGCCUGCCAUCCACACCCUCCCUAACUCCUCCAAAGCAAAACUGCCAUAAAUAGGGCUUGGGAAGCAAUCACUUGCUGGUGCUGACUCAGAUAUGAACAGUAGA
This is a non-coding RNA of Callithrix jacchus (white-tufted-ear marmoset), 782 nucleotides long. The record is from RefSeq and is a predicted model, not a curated record. NCBI's taxonomy places the organism in Eukaryota, Metazoa, Chordata, Mammalia, Primates, Cebidae.